GAUGAAGAACGUAGCAAAAUGCGAUACUUGGUGUGAAUUGCAGAAUCCCGUGAACCAUCGAGUUUUUGAACGCAAGUUGCGCCCGAAGCCUUUUGGCCGAGGGCACGUCUGCCUGGGCGUCACGCAUCGCGUCGCCCCCCACAAUUCUCCGUAAAGGGAACGUGUGUUUUGGGGGCGGAUAUUGGUCUCCCGUGCUCAUGGCGUGGUUGGCCGAAAUAGGAGUCCUUUCGAUGGACGCACGAACUAGUGGUGGUCGUAAAAACCCCCGUCUUUUGUUUCGUGCUGUUGCUCGCAAGGUAAACUCUUUAAAAACCCCAAUGUGUCGUCUCUUGACGACGCUUCGACCGCGACCCCAGGUCAGGCGGGACUACCCGCUGAGUUUAAGCAUAUCAAUAAGCGGAGGA
This 404-nucleotide unclassified non-coding RNA is filed under the name soil metagenome. RNAcentral describes it as "partial contains 5.8S ribosomal RNA, internal transcribed spacer 2, and large subunit ribosomal RNA". The stretch from base 1 to 122 matches the Rfam family "5.8S ribosomal RNA", at positions 35 to 154 of the family's 154-position model. The record is from RNAcentral.